Molecule: ribosomal RNA, 253 nt
Filed under: uncultured bacterium
Lineage: Bacteria
Description: partial 16S ribosomal RNA
Rfam family: Bacterial small subunit ribosomal RNA
Source: RNAcentral
UACGUAGGGUGCGAGCGUUAAUCGGAAUUACUGGGCGUAAAGCGUGCGCAGGCGGUAAGUUAAGUCUGAUGUGAAAGCCCCGGGCUCAACCUGGGAAUGGCAUUGGAAACUGGCUUGCUGGAGUGUGGCAGAGGGGGGUGGAAUUCCGCGUGUAGCAGUGAAAUGCGUAGAGAUGCGGAGGAACACCGAUGGCGAAGGCAGCCCCCUGGGCUGACACUGACGCUCAGGCACGAAAGCGUGGGGAGCAAACAGG